Pteropus vampyrus (large flying fox) is the source of this 134-nucleotide ribosomal RNA. Lineage: Eukaryota; Metazoa; Chordata; Mammalia; Chiroptera; Pteropodidae. The record is from Ensembl.
GUCUAUGGCCAUGCCACCCUGAACACGCCUGAUCUUGUCUGAUUCGGAAGCUUCUGAUCUCAGAAGCUAAACAGGAUUGGGCCUGGUUAGUACUUGGAUGGGAGACCACCUAGGAAGACUGGGUGCUGUAGGUG